AUCGCGGGAAGAGGAAGGGAGCGUAACUCUUAGAAGUCACUAUGGUGACGGGGAGGUCGGGAGGCUUCUUGGUAACUGGUACCAGGUGUUUGAGAGCAAUCGCCACCGCUUUCCUGGAACUUGAGUAAAUACAAUCAAGUGGCAUCUUAAAUUUUUGCUGGAAGUGGAGUCAUGAGACUAAAGAUAUCUCUUUUAAAAGAACCAAAGCAUAUCCUUUUAAUGCUUAUAAAUCUUAUUGGAUUUUAAUUAUAGUAUUGUUAAAAGUUUCUCUAUUUUAUAUCCUAGUUGAAGAAUAGAUUUUUUUUCAUUCCUUUAGUGGCUGUUUACCUAAAUUGUUUUAAAAUAUUUAAGAUCACGUGUUGUAAGUAAUUCUCCAAAGUGAACCAUUUGCUAUAAAUCUUAUUUUAAAAUUCUUACUGACAUUUUUCUUACUCUACUUAAGUACUAUACUUAAAUACUUGAAAAGCAGUUUUUGUUUAGUAGGAUCUUAAAAAGAAGCUUUUUUUUUUUUUGAGACAGAGUCUCACUCUGUCACCCAGGGUGGAGUAUAGUGGUGUGAUCUCAGCUCACUGCAACCUCCACCUCCUGGGUUCAAGUGAUUCUCCUGCCUCAGCUUCCUGAGCAGCUCAGACUACAGGCACCCGCCAACAUGCCCGGCUAAUUUUUGUAUUUUUAGUAGAGACGGGGUUUCACCAUGUUGGCCAGGCUGGUCUCAAACUCUCGACCUCAGGUGAUCCACCUGCCCCAGCCUCCCAAAGUGCUGGGAUUACAG
This 772-nucleotide small RNA is filed under the name Pongo abelii (Sumatran orangutan). Its description in RNAcentral is "retained intron". Lineage: Eukaryota; Metazoa; Chordata; Mammalia; Primates; Hominidae. The record is from RNAcentral.